Molecule: transfer RNA, 77 nt
Filed under: Actinobacteria bacterium HGW-Actinobacteria-10
Lineage: Bacteria; Bacillati; Actinomycetota
Description: tRNA-Met
Rfam family: tRNA
About the family: Transfer RNA (tRNA) molecules are approximately 80 nucleotides in length. Their secondary structure includes four short double-helical elements and three loops (D, anti-codon, and T loops).
Source: RNAcentral
GGCGGUGUAGCUCAGUUGGUCAGAGCACACGGUUCAUACCCGUGUUGUCGCUGGUUCGAGUCCAGCCACCGCUACCA